GAGUUUGAUCGUGGCUCAGAUUGAACGCUGGCGGCAUGCCUUACACAUGCAAGUCGAACGGCAGCAUGAUCUAGCUUGCUAGAUUGAUGGCGAGUGGCGAACGGGUGAGUAAUACAUCGGAACGUGCCCUGUAGUGGGGGAUAACUAGUCGAAAGAUUAGCUAAUACCGCAUACGACCUGAGGGUGAAAGUGGGGGACCGCAAGGCCUCAUGCUAUAGGAGCGGCCGAUGUCUGAUUAGCUAGUUGGUGGGUAAAGGCCACCAAGGCGACGAUCAGUAGCUGGUCUGAGAGGACGAUCAGCCACACUGGGACUGAGACACGGCCCAGACUCCUACGGGAGGCAGCAGUGGGGAAUUUUGGACAAUGGCGAAAGCCUGAUCCAGCAAUGCCGCGUGUGUGAAGAAGGCCUCGG
This 412-nucleotide ribosomal RNA is filed under the name uncultured microorganism. RNAcentral describes it as "bacterial SSU rRNA". It matches the Rfam family "Bacterial small subunit ribosomal RNA", at positions 9 to 420 of the family's 1533-position model. The record is from RNAcentral.